Long non-coding RNA from Numida meleagris (helmeted guineafowl), 1169 nucleotides. RefSeq lists it as uncharacterized. The transcript is spliced from 3 exons. NCBI's taxonomy places the organism in Eukaryota, Metazoa, Chordata, Aves, Galliformes, Numididae. The record is from RefSeq and is a predicted model, not a curated record.
CACAGAUAUAAAAUAAUGCAGUUAGGUACAAUUCAUCUACAUCAGAGAGUAGGACUGAUGUGACUAACAUUGUGCAAAUGUUCUUAAUAUAGACAAUACCUCAGUCUGCAGAACACAAAAAAUUGGUUCUAAAAAGAAUAAUCAGACCUAUUUGUUUCAGAGGGAUGUUAACAUUGAAACUUAAAUAUAGCAGCAUACAGAGCAACACGGUUAACUACUUCUCUGCUAAGCCUUAUAAUGGAAAUAUUCCCUAUCAUACAUAGCUUUUAUUUUCCUAAGAAUUAGAUUCAAAUUAUGUAAUAGAAAAAUAACAGUGGGAAAGUGCACUGGUUGCCUUAGUUUACCGUGCAUUAAAAUUAUUGAAACUAUUGGUUGCUAAAUGCAAUGAAGCUUCCACAUUGUUCCUUCAUCAGCAUUGAAGCAGUACAGGCUUUAGCAGCAGCAGGUCAGCCUGUUGCAGAAUUCAUAUAGUCAAGCCUAUUACAGGCUAGGUAUAAAAAUCAAGUCAGGAUUUGCAGUCAGUGGAAAUCCCAGUGGAAAGACAUGGAAUUCUUACAUGGAAAAUCCUAACGUUAGCGGAGCUUAAGCAAAGUAAAUCCUAAAAGCUAACACAAAGAAUGCCCAAGGUCUUUUUAGCAGAGUUAGCCUCUUCACUCACCCAAACUUUUCAAAUGUCACUGAUACCUCGCCUUUUAGGCAUGGUACUCGACUCUGGAGCAGAUGCAUUCUGCACUGAAGCAGGGAAUGGCCUCGGCUGGUUGAGUGGUAGCCCUGUCAGGGAGCAGCUGCAGGGCCCCAUUGUGCUCUGCACGGCAACGGCAUUCUGACGUUGUGCGGGUGGAGACAGGAGCAGCGGCGGGAUCAGCCGCCGCGUGUAUAAAACGUACCGCUAGGGAGUGGAAUGACCCAGGAGCGGAGUGAACAGGAAAGGCGAACGGGCCAUGGCACAUCAGAGAGGUAUGGUGCAGCAGUUUGCGCAGGCAGUGCCUCCAAACUGCAGUUCUCUUUUGGAAUGAACUUCCCACCUUCAUCUUCAUUUGGAAAUUUGAGAGAUGAUCCUGUCACACUAGCUUUACUCUGAAAAGUAGCAGGUUCCAUGAGGGAAGCAUGUGAUUUGGCAACUUAUUUCAGAGCAUGCAGAUUAAAAAAAAAUUGUCUGGUUACACAGA